CCUACGGGUGGCAGCAGUGAGGAAUAUUGGUCAAUGGGCGUAAGCCUGAACCAGCCAAGUCGCGUGAGGGAUGAAUGUCCUAUGGAUCGUAAACCUCUUUUAUAAGGGAAUAAAGUGAGGGACGUGUGCCUUUUUGUAUGUACUUUAUGAAUAAGGAUCGGCUAACUCCGUGCCAGCAGCCGCGGUAAUACGGAGGAUCCGAGCGUUAUCCGGAUUUAUUGGGUUUAAAGGGAGCGUAGGUGGCUUUUUAAGUCAGUUGUGAAAGUCUGUGGCUCAACCAUAGAAUUGCCGUUGAUACUGGCAGUCUUGAGUAUGUUUGAGGCAGGCGGAAUGCGUGGUGUAGCGGUGAAAUGCUUAGAUAUCACGCAGAACCCCGAUUGCGAAGGCAGCCUGCCAAGCCAUGACUGACGCUGAUGCACGAAAGCGUGGGGAUCAAACAGGAUUAGAUACCCCAGUAGUC
This 460-nucleotide ribosomal RNA is filed under the name uncultured bacterium. Its description in RNAcentral is "partial 16S ribosomal RNA". It matches the Rfam family "Bacterial small subunit ribosomal RNA", at positions 338 to 795 of the family's 1533-position model. The record is from RNAcentral.